This 499-nucleotide ribosomal RNA is filed under the name Cladosporium sp. TA26-61. Its description in RNAcentral is "eukaryotic LSU rRNA". The stretch from base 134 to 287 matches the Rfam family "5.8S ribosomal RNA". Lineage: Eukaryota; Fungi; Ascomycota; Dothideomycetes; Cladosporiales; Cladosporiaceae. The record is from RNAcentral.
GGGAUGUUCAUAACCCUUUGUUGUCCGACUCUGUUGCCUCCGGGGCGACCCUGCCUUCGGGCGGGGGCUCCGGGUGGACACUUCAAACUCUUGCGUAACUUUGCAGUCUGAGUAAACUUAAUUAAUAAAUUAAAACUUUUAACAACGGAUCUCUUGGUUCUGGCAUCGAUGAAGAACGCAGCGAAAUGCGAUAAGUAAUGUGAAUUGCAGAAUUCAGUGAAUCAUCGAAUCUUUGAACGCACAUUGCGCCCCCUGGUAUUCCGGGGGGCAUGCCUGUUCGAGCGUCAUUUCACCACUCAAGCCUCGCUUGGUAUUGGGCAACGCGGUCCGCCGCGUGCCUCAAAUCGACCGGCUGGGUCUUCUGUCCCCUAAGCGUUGUGGAAACUAUUCGCUAAAGGGUGCUCGGGAGGCUACGCCGUAAAACAACCCCAUUUCUAAGGUUGACCUCGGAUCAGGUAGGGAUACCCGCUGAACUUAAGCAUAUCAAUAAGCGGAGAAA